RNAcentral lists this transfer-messenger RNA (359 nucleotides) under Planctomycetaceae. RNAcentral describes it as "JACQFH01 sp016200145 Standard tmRNA". It matches the Rfam family "transfer-messenger RNA". Rfam says of the family: Bacterial tmRNA, also known as 10Sa RNA or SsrA, is named for its dual tRNA and mRNA-like properties. Its role is to liberate the mRNA from a stalled ribosome. To accomplish this part of the tmRNA is used as a reading frame that ends in a translation stop signal. RNAcentral also lists the same sequence under 1 other name. Lineage: Bacteria; Pseudomonadati; Planctomycetota; Planctomycetia; Planctomycetales. The record is from RNAcentral.
GGGGGCGAUUGGAUUCGACUGGGUUACCGUAAGUCGAGGUGGCGUGCCGUGGUUGAUCAGUUGGCCACGUAAAAAGCUGAUCACUCUACAACUGCUGAAAAGCAUUUCGCGUUGGCUGCCUAGAGAUAGGCAACCCUGGCUCAGGAAUCCCCGUCUGAGGAGUCCGAAAGCCGGUCACAAAAUCAGGCUGGCGUCGCGUCAAUGCCCACUACGCGCGGCGUGAGACAAGUGGUGGACUGGUCCGGGACGGGCCCUGUCGAUCGAGCCUGUCCCGGCGAGACCUAAUCGACCGAACACGCACGUAGAAGCUUCGUCCGAGGAAUCACAGGACGCGGGUUCGAUUCCCGCCGCCUCCAUUU